Molecule: ribosomal RNA, 474 nt
Filed under: uncultured bacterium
Lineage: Bacteria
Description: bacterial SSU rRNA
Rfam family: Bacterial small subunit ribosomal RNA
Source: RNAcentral
AAUGAACGCUGGCGGCGCGCCUAAUACACGCAAGUCGAGCGAGAAGACGUAGCAAUACGUUUGUAAAGCGGCGAACGGGUGAGGAAUACAUGGGUAACCUACCCUCGAGUGGGGAAUAACUAGCCGAAAGGUUAGCUAAUACCGCGUACGCUCCUUGGACUUCGGUUCAGGGAGGAAAGCGAUACCGUGGGUAUCGCGCUCUUGGUUGGGCUCAUGUCCUAUCAGCUUGUUGGUGAGGAACGGCUCACCAAGGCUUCGACGGGUAGCUGGUCUGAGAGGACGAUCAGCCACACUGGCACUGCGACACGGGCCAGACUCCUACGGGAGGCAGCAGUAAGGAAUAUUGCGCAAUGGGCGAAAGCCUGACGCAGCGACGCCGCGUGGGGGAUGAAAGUCUUCGGAUUGUAAACCCCUUUCGGGAGGGAAGAUGGAACGAGCAAUCGUUCGGACGGUACCUCCAGAAGCAGCCACGGC